RNAcentral lists this ribosomal RNA (468 nucleotides) under uncultured bacterium. Its description in RNAcentral is "partial 16S ribosomal RNA". It matches the Rfam family "Bacterial small subunit ribosomal RNA", at positions 28 to 507 of the family's 1533-position model. The record is from RNAcentral.
GACGAACGCUGGCGGCGUGCUUAACACAUGCAAGUCGAACGGAAAGGCCCUGCUUUUGUGGGGUGCUCGAGUGGCGAACGGGUGAGUAACACGUGAGUAACCUGCCCUUGACUUUGGGAUAACUUCAGGAAACUGGGGCUAAUACCGGAUAGGAGCUCCUGCUGCAUGGUGGGGGUUGGAAAGUUUCGGCGGUUGGGGAUGGACUCGCGGCUUAUCAGCUUGUUGGUGGGGGAGUGGCUUACCAAGGCUUUGACGGGUAGCCGGCCUGAGAGGGUGACCGGCCACAUUGGGCCUGAGAUACGGCCCAGACUCCUACGGGAGGCAGCAGUGGGGAAUAUUGCACAAUGGGCGGAAGCCUGAUGCAGCAACGCCGCGUGCGGGAUGACGGCCUUCGGGUUGUAAACCGCUUUCGCCUGUGACGAAGCGUGAGUGACGGUAAUGGGUAAAGAAGCACCGGCUAACUACGUG